UACGUAGGGGGCAAGCGUUACCCGGAUUUAUUGGGCGUAAAGGGCGCGUAGGCGGUGCGGUAAGUCUGAUGUGAAAUCUCCGGGCUCAACUCGGAGUCUGCAUCAGAAACUGCCGGGCUUGAGUAUGGGAGAGGUGAGUGGAAUUCCUGGUGUAGCGGUGAAAUGCGUAGAUAUCAGGAGGAACACCUGUGGCGAAAGCGGCUCACUGGACCAUAACUGACGCUGAUGCACGAAAGCCAGGGGAGCGAACGGG
Molecule: ribosomal RNA, 253 nt
Filed under: uncultured bacterium
Lineage: Bacteria
Description: partial 16S ribosomal RNA
Rfam family: Bacterial small subunit ribosomal RNA
Source: RNAcentral